UACGUAGGGAGCAAGCGUUGUCCGGAUUCAUUGGGCGUAAAGAGCUCGUAGGCGGCUUGAUAAGUCGGAUGUGAAACCUCCAGGCUCAACCUGGAGUCGCCAUCCGAUACUGUCAUGGCUAGAGUCCGGUAGGGGCCCACGGAACUCCUGGUGUAGCGGUGAAAUGCGUAGAUAUCUGGAGGAACACCGGUGGCGAAGGCGGCAUUCUGGACCGACAUUGACGCUGAGGAGCGAAAGCCAGGGGAGCAAACGGG
Molecule: ribosomal RNA, 254 nt
Filed under: uncultured bacterium
Lineage: Bacteria
Description: partial 16S ribosomal RNA
Rfam family: Bacterial small subunit ribosomal RNA
Source: RNAcentral